GCCAGGUGUGGUGACAUGUGCCUAUUUGCCAGGCUGAGCUGGGAGGAUCGCUUGAGCCCAGGAGGUUUGGGCUGUAGUGCGCUAUGCUGAUUGGGUGUCCGCACUAAAUUCAGCAUCAAUAUGGUGACCUCCCAGGAGCAGGGAGAACCACCUGGUUGCCUAAGGAGGGGUUUACUGGCCCAGGUCAGAAACAGAGCAGGUCAAAACUCCCUGGCUAAUGAGUAGUAGGACUGGACCUUUGAAUAGCCACUGCACUCCAGCCUGAACAGCAUAGCAAGACACCAUCUCU
Molecule: signal recognition particle RNA, 289 nt
Filed under: Saimiri boliviensis boliviensis (Bolivian squirrel monkey)
Lineage: Eukaryota; Metazoa; Chordata; Mammalia; Primates; Cebidae
Description: Metazoan signal recognition particle RNA (ENSSBOG00000002327.1)
Rfam family: Metazoan signal recognition particle RNA
About the family: The signal recognition particle (SRP) is a universally conserved ribonucleoprotein. It is involved in the co-translational targeting of proteins to membranes. The eukaryotic SRP consists of a 300-nucleotide 7S RNA and six proteins: SRPs 72, 68, 54, 19, 14, and 9.
Source: RNAcentral